UACGAGUGGUGCAAACGUUAUUCGGAAUUACUGGGCUUAAAGGGUGCGUAGGCUGCUAUGAAGGUCUGAUGUGAAAUACCACGGCUCAACCGUGGAACGGCGUUGGAAACCACAUAGCUGGAGUGAGACAGAGGUAAGCGGAACUGAUGGUGGAGCGGUGAAAUGCGUUGAUAUCAUCAGGAACACCGGUGGCGAAAGCGGCUUACUGGGUCUUUACUGACGCUGAUGCACGAAAGCCAGGGGAGCAAACGGG
This 253-nucleotide ribosomal RNA is filed under the name uncultured bacterium. RNAcentral's name for it is "partial 16S ribosomal RNA". It matches the Rfam family "Bacterial small subunit ribosomal RNA", at positions 524 to 776 of the family's 1533-position model. The record is from RNAcentral.